GUAAGAGGCGAUUGCAUUUUACCAACUUUUCAUACAAAUAUUAAAAAACUAAAAUAUUUAGUACUCGCUUAAGUUUGCAUUGGUCUUGAGAUUGGCUUUUUUUUAUUUUAUAAUAUUUCCCACUGGGUACAUAUAUGAAGGACAAAUGGAGAUAGGCCUAUGUACUCUUAUGUACUUUACCCCUGUCGAUGGUACAAACAGAGACUUUCCAUAUACUGAUGACGAUUGUAAAUCAAAGUAAUAGACCUCCUUGUUCGUCAGUUUCUGGCAGUCAAGGUGCCACACUAGAAUGUAAAUUUAACAGUGAUACUGAUGUGACUGGGACUGCUAAAACUUUGUUAAAAUCAAUAAAAUCUGCUUUGACCAUACAA
This is a long non-coding RNA of Saccostrea cuccullata (small rock oyster), 371 nucleotides long. RefSeq lists it as uncharacterized. NCBI's taxonomy places the organism in Eukaryota, Metazoa, Mollusca, Bivalvia, Ostreida, Ostreidae. The transcript is spliced from 2 exons. The record is from RefSeq and is a predicted model, not a curated record.